Molecule: ribosomal RNA, 498 nt
Filed under: uncultured bacterium
Lineage: Bacteria
Description: partial 16S ribosomal RNA
Rfam family: Bacterial small subunit ribosomal RNA
Source: RNAcentral
AUUGAACGCUGGCGGCAUGCCUUACACAUGCAAGUCGAACGGUAACAGGCCGCAAGGUGCUGACGAGUGGCGAACGGGUGAGUAAUGCAUCGGAACGUGCCCAGUUGUGGGGGAUAACUGCUCGAAAGAGCAGCUAAUACCGCAUACGACCUGAGGGUGAAAGCGGGGGAUCGCAAGACCUCGCGCAAUUGGAGCGGCCGAUGUCAGAUUAGGUAGUUGGUGGGGUAAAGGCCUACCAAGCCGACGAUCUGUAGUUGGUCUGAGAGGACGACCAGCCACACUGGGACUGAGACACGGCCCAGACUCCUACGGGAGGCAGCAGUGGGGAAUUUUGGACAAUGGGCGCAAGCCUGAUCCAGCAAUGCCGCGUGCAGGAAGAAGGCCUUCGGGUUGUAAACUACUUUUGUCAGGGAGGAAAUCCCUAGUGCUAAUAACACUGGGGGAUGACAGUACCUGAAGAAUAAGCACCGGCUAACUACGUGCCAGCCGCCGCCGUAA